ACUUCUUCAACAGGCGAUUCCUGUCCGAGCUUCUACAGCAGAUGACUCCCAUCUGCAGCACCAACGACACUCAACAACCUCGGGAGCAUCCGAGCUUCUUCCAGAUUGCAGGACAGAGAGCCACUCUGCUCCAUCAGACGUCCCAGUCGAGCUUCAGCCGACAGGCCCGAAUUCUCUGGCAAGUCACGCCAAUGGCCACUACCCCACUCUACUCUCUGUAACAGAUUCCACGUGGUCCCACCACUCUCUGGCAAGUCGUGACAACAGACACCACUCCACUCUCCGCA
Molecule: long non-coding RNA, 287 nt
Filed under: Elaeis guineensis (African oil palm)
Lineage: Eukaryota; Viridiplantae; Streptophyta; Magnoliopsida; Arecales; Arecaceae
Description: long non-coding RNA (EGUI_LNC059639)
Source: RNAcentral